GGGCAUAGCGCAGUUUGGUAGCGCACCUGGCUUGGGACCAGGGGGUCGCAGGUUCGAAUCCUGCUGCGGUUCG
RNAcentral lists this transfer RNA (73 nucleotides) under Veillonella sp. RNAcentral's name for it is "tRNA-Pro". The stretch from base 3 to 67 matches the Rfam family "tRNA", at positions 5 to 66 of the family's 71-position model. From Rfam's summary of the family: Transfer RNA (tRNA) molecules are approximately 80 nucleotides in length. Their secondary structure includes four short double-helical elements and three loops (D, anti-codon, and T loops). Further hydrogen bonds mediate the characteristic L-shaped molecular structure. tRNAs have two regions of fundamental functional importance: the anti-codon, which is responsible for specific mRNA codon recognition, and the 3' end, to which the tRNAs corresponding amino acid is attached (by aminoacyl-tRNA synthetases). tRNAs cope with the degeneracy of the genetic code in two manners: having more than one tRNA (with a specific anti-codon) for a particular amino acid; and 'wobble' base-pairing, i.e. permitting non-standard base-pairing at the 3rd anti-codon position. Lineage: Bacteria; Bacillati; Bacillota; Negativicutes; Veillonellales; Veillonellaceae. The record is from RNAcentral.